UACGGGAGGCAGCAGUGGGGAAUCUGCGCAAUGGCCGCAAGGCUGACGCAGCGACGCCGCGUGGGGGAGGAAGGCCUUCGGGUUGUAAACCCCUGUUGCCCGGGACGAACGAGCGGUUUCGACCGCUGUGACGGUACCGGGUGAGGAAGCACCGGCUAACUCCGUGCCAGCAGCCGCGGUAAUACGGAGGGUGCGAGCGUUGUCCGGAAUCACUGGGCGUAAAGGGCGCGUAGGCGGCCUCUUAAGCGUGCGGUGAAAGCCCGGGGCUCAACCCCGGGUCGGCCGUGCGAACUGGGGGGCUGGAACACCACA
Molecule: ribosomal RNA, 312 nt
Filed under: uncultured Thermodesulfatator sp.
Lineage: Bacteria; Pseudomonadati; Thermodesulfobacteriota; Thermodesulfobacteria; Thermodesulfobacteriales; Thermodesulfatatoraceae
Description: bacterial SSU rRNA
Rfam family: Bacterial small subunit ribosomal RNA
Source: RNAcentral